AGUUGCAGCUAUAAGGGAAGCGGUUGAGGUGUGUACCAAGAACCUAGAGCUGGUUCCUCUAUAACAAGCCUGCAGUGUUCUAGUAUUCGAAUGAGUAUGGUUGGAAUCACGAGUCUAAUUCACGGAGAGCGUAGAGAUCGGUAUUGGCUGCAAUGGCGACUGGAAAGGCACUACCGAUAGUUCCUCUAUAACAAGCGUGCAGUGUUCUAGUAUCCGAAUGAGUGUGGUUGGAAUCACGGGUCUAAUUCACGGAGAGCGUAGAGAUUGGUAUUGGCUGCAAUGGCGACUGGAAAGGCACUACCGAUAGUUCCUCUAUAACAAGCGUGCAGUGUUCUAGUAUCCGAAUGAGUGUGGUUGGAAUCACGAGUCUAAUUCACGGAGAGCGUAGAGAUCGGUAUUGGCUGCAAUGGCGACUGGAAAGGCACUACCGAUAGUUCCUCUAUAAUAAGCCUGCAGUGUUCUAGUAUCCGAAUGAGUAUGGUUGAAAUCACGGGUCUAAUUCACGGAGAGCGUAGAGAUCGGUAUUGGCUGCGGUGGCGACUGGAAAGGCACUACCGAUAGUUCCUCUAUAAUAAGCCUGCAGUGUUCUAGUAUCCGAAUGAGUAUGGUUGGAAUCACGAGUCUAAUUCACGGAGAGCGUAGAGAUCGGUAUUGGCUGCAAUGGCGACUGGAAAGGCACUACCGAUAGUUCCUCUAUAACAAGCGUGCAGUGUUCUAGUAUCCGAAUGAGUAUGGUUGGAAUCACGAGUCUAAUUCACGGAGAGCGUAGAGAUCGGUAUUGGCUGCGGUGGCGACUGGAAAGGCACUACCGAUAGUUCCUCUAUAACAAGCGUGCAGUGUUCUAGUAUCCGAAUGAGUGUGGUUGGAAUCACGGGUCUAAUUCACGGAGAGCGUAGAGAUCGGUAUUGGCUGCAAUGGCGACUGGAAAGGCACUACCGAUAGUUCCUCUAUAAUAAGCCUGCAGUGUUCGUGUAUCCGAACGCGGCUAGUCCAAAUCACGAGUCCAGUUCACUAAAAAAACCGAACGGGACGCACCCCGCGGCUGGAAAAGACAAAGUUGGUGUUCAGAGAGGGCGCACUCUCUGCUCGGACGAACGCUGCGCUACCUGCAAAACUAGAGACGUAGUCUGUUGCUAUGGUGAGCAUUCACCGGAACGCUGACUCGAUGCUCACGGUACCGGUGCGUCUCAUUUCAACAAAGAGCACCGGUAUAGGGCUAGAGCAUACAACGGGCGGCAGCUGAGUAGGGGAUUAUGUUUCGGCAGCAGGUAGGCUCCGUGCACCCGAUAGCGCUCGGUUUGUUGUUUCGAUUACGCACACACACACACACACGCCACAGAAACGGUGCACUCUUGGCUGUGCUGGCGUUCAUCGGACCGCUAUGGACAUCACGCCAGCGGGCUGUUUGUUUGCGGUGCAGCGAAGAUAUCAGUGGACAGUGCACCCGCCCAUGAGCGAGCGAUACCAUGCAUGCGGGACAAACGACACAUCGAGGUGGCCCAUGGAAAAACAGGUCCAACGUAUUCGUUUCCUUGGGGCGGGGCGGUGCAUCGCACGCUCCGCGUUCGGAUACGAGGACUCUAUCGAGGCGCUGACCUCGACCACGGUGACUGCCGCUUCUUUCCCUCAAGUGUAUGGAGACUCUUCCCGUAUCAUCUGCGGGAAUGGAACCCCACCAAAGCUCCUUGCGCCCUGGAAAGCACCAAUGCCUUCAUCGGAGAGUGAUACUUUCACAGUACGUGCGGGGCAAGCAACGGGAUGCUGCAGCGUUCUGAACGCUAGGGAAAGCGUGAGCCAAAAUGACGCAACCUGGAAACCUGCUCCCGACUGAAGGUUCUAUUCUGCUGCGGUAGCAAGCUACCCUGAACAAGCAACUGGACACAAAGCGUGCUAGGGACGCAGCAAUGUCGGUCGAUGGCGGUUCAAGUUCCAGCAGUGGGACGCGAUGGGGAGCAGGUGCCCCUUCUCCAUGAGUGCCUUAACGGACGAUUCCCGUGUUCAAAAGCGGCGCGCACAUCAACAGGGGCUCAGCGCUGCCUCUGCUAGACCCGGCACCAGCAGUUGGCUGCUCUUUCACCAGUACACGAUACCGCUCUCAGGGAGUCUUGUAAAGUUUGCCGUGC
This 2123-nucleotide unclassified non-coding RNA is filed under the name Cyanidioschyzon merolae strain 10D. RNAcentral describes it as "hypothetical transcript". Lineage: Eukaryota; Rhodophyta; Bangiophyceae; Cyanidiales; Cyanidiaceae. The record is from RNAcentral.